RNAcentral lists this ribosomal RNA (272 nucleotides) under uncultured bacterium. RNAcentral's name for it is "partial 16S ribosomal RNA". It matches the Rfam family "Bacterial small subunit ribosomal RNA", at positions 524 to 796 of the family's 1533-position model. The record is from RNAcentral.
UACGGAGGGGGCUAGCGUUGUUCGGAAUUACUGGGCGUAAAGCGCGCGUAGGCGGAUCAGUCAGUCAGGGGUGAAAUCCCGGGGCUCAACCCCGGAACUGCCUUUGAUACUGCUGAUCUCGAGGACAGGAGAGGAGAGUGGAAUUCCCAGUGUAGAAAGUGAAUUCGUAGAUAGUGGAAGAACACCAGAGGCGAAGGCGGCUCUCUGGCCUGUUUCUGACGCUGAGGUGCGAAAGCGUGGGGAGCGAACAGGAUUAGAUACCCGCGUAGUCC